This 486-nucleotide ribosomal RNA is filed under the name uncultured bacterium. RNAcentral's name for it is "partial 16S ribosomal RNA". It matches the Rfam family "Bacterial small subunit ribosomal RNA", at positions 30 to 507 of the family's 1533-position model. The record is from RNAcentral.
AUUGAACGCUGGCGGCAUGCCUUACACAUGCAAGUCGAACGGCAGCACGGGUGCUUGCACCUGGUGGCGAGUGGCGAACGGGUGAGUAAUACAUCGGAACAUGUCCUGUAGUGGGGGAUAGCCCGGCGAAAGCCGGAUUAAUACCGCAUACGAUCUACGGAUGAAAGCGGGGGACCUUCGGGCCUCGCGCUAUAGGGUUGGCCGAUGGCUGAUUAGCUAGUUGGUGGGGUAAAGGCCUACCAAGGCGACGAUCAGUAGCUGGUCUGAGAGGACGACCAGCCACACUGGGACUGAGACACGGCCCAGACUCCUACGGGAGGCAGCAGUGGGGAAUUUUGGACAAUGGGCGAAAGCCUGAUCCAGCAAUGCCGCGUGUGUGAAGAAGGCCUUCGGGUUGUAAAGCACUUUUGUCCGGAAAGAAAACCUUGGCUCUAAUACAGUCGGGGGAUGACGGUACCGGAAGAAUAAGCACCGGCUAACUACGUG